Molecule: ribosomal RNA, 492 nt
Filed under: uncultured bacterium
Lineage: Bacteria
Description: partial 16S ribosomal RNA
Rfam family: Bacterial small subunit ribosomal RNA
Source: RNAcentral
AUUGAACGCUGGCGGCAUGCUUUACACAUGCAAGUCGAACGGUAACAGGCCUUCGGGUGCUGACGACUGGCGAACGGGGGAGUAAUGCAUCGGAACGUACCCAGAGGUGGGGGAUAACGCAGCGAAAGCUGUGCUAAUAUCGCAUGUGAUCUGAGGAUGACAACGGGGGACCGAGCAGCAAUGUUUGGCCUCGCGCCUUUGGAGCGGCCGAUGUCGGAUUAGCUAGUUGGUGGGGUAAAGGCCUACCAAGGCGACGAUCCGUAGCUGGUCUGAGAGGACGACCAGCCACACUGGAACUGAGACACGGCCCAGACUCCUACGGGAGGCAGCAGUGGGGAAUAUUGGACAAUGGGCGCAAGCCUGAUCCAGCCAUGCCGCGUGCGGGAAGAAGGCCUUCGGGUUGUAAAGCGCUUUUGGCAGGAACGAAACGGUGUCCGCUAAUACCGGGCGGUACUGACGGUACCUACAGAAUAAGCACCGGCUAACUACGUG